Molecule: long non-coding RNA, 606 nt
Filed under: Androctonus crassicauda
Lineage: Eukaryota; Metazoa; Arthropoda; Arachnida; Scorpiones; Buthidae
Source: RNAcentral
CGACGAACUAUGAACCAGCCUUAAGCGCUUGUUCAGCAAGGUCAUCAAGUUGCUUGCCAACUGGAAGCGCCCAUUAUUCGAUCGAUCCAUCGAUGGUUCCGCCAAUUAGUGAUUAGUAGAUUGAGAAGUGGCGUCAUCUAUUGACAAAAAUUUCAAGAAAUGAUUUCUUUUCACAUUAAUUGUAGAACAACGAUGUUGCAAACAGUAUACGUCUAUGACAUUGUCUAUAAUAUAAGAAUGUACAGUAUAUUUAUAGCAAUGAUAUAUAAGAAUGUACAGCAGCGUUUCUCAACCUAUUUGCUGCGCGACCCAACAUAUAAUCUUAAAAAUAAUCGACAUUAUCUGAGCUAUCAUUUCGCGAUCCGUUAACAAUUUAACGCAGCCAAAAAUCGUGACCUAGAGGUUGAGAAACGCUGAUAUAAAGCAUAAAUCAAUCUGAAGAAUCUAAAGUAUAAAGUAUAAUGUCAUUUUAAUAGUGUUUCUGUUCCAUAAAAUACUAACUGGUAAGAAAAAAAUGGCCAUGGAAAAUAAAAAUGUAUUUAUUUCAAUUGCUAAACUGUAUAAUGAUAAUUUUGGGAUGACCUAUCAAUAAAUUUUCUAAUUGGC